ACGUACUGGCAUCGUCGGUUUCUCCCUUCUGACGAACCAUGAUGUCAUUUAUUUGGUGUCGUGGGGAAUCAGGACUGUUACUUUGAAAAAAUUAGAGUGUUUAAAGCAGGCUCACGCUUGAAUACAUUAGCAUGGAAUAAUGAAAUAGGACGUUUGAUUCUAUUUUGUUGGUUUCUAGGAUCGACGUAAUGAUUAAUAGGGAUAGUUGGGGGCAUUAGUAUUCAAUUGUCAGAGGUGAAAUUCUUGGAUUUAUUGAAGACUAACUACUGCGAAAGCAUUUGCCAAGGAUGUUUUCAUUAAUCAAGAACGAAAGUUAGGGGAUCGAAGACGAUCAGAUACCGUCGUAGUCUUAACCAUAAACUAUGCCGACUAGGGUUCGGAUGAUGUUAAUUUUUUAAUGACUCAUUCGGCGCCUUACG
This 419-nucleotide ribosomal RNA is filed under the name uncultured Glomeromycotina. RNAcentral describes it as "SSU rRNA". It matches the Rfam family "Eukaryotic small subunit ribosomal RNA", at positions 675 to 1092 of the family's 1831-position model. Lineage: Eukaryota; Fungi; Glomeromycota. The record is from RNAcentral.